UCAGGACGAACGCUGGCGGCGUGCUUAACACAUGCAAGUCGAACGAUGAAGCCUAGCUUGCUGGGUGGAUUAGUGGCGAACGGGUGAGUAACACGUGAGUAACCUGCCCUUGACUCUGGGAUAAGCGCUGGAAACGGCGUCUAAUACCGGAUAUGACCUGCCCCGGCAUCGGGUGUGGGUGGAAAGUUUUUCGGUCAAGGAUGGACUCGCGGCCUAUCAGCUUGUUGGUGAGGUAAUGGCUCACCAAGGCGACGACGGGUAGCCGGCCUGAGAGGGUGACCGGCCACACUGGGACUGAGACACGGCCCAGACUCCUACGGGAGGCAGCAGUGGGGAAUAUUGCACAAUGGGCGAAAGCCUGAUGCAGCAACGCCGCGUGGGGGAUGACGGCCUUCGGGUUGUAAACCUCUUUUAGUAGGGAAGAAGGGCUUCGGCUUGACGGUACCUGCAGAAAAAGCACCGGCUAACUACGUGCCAGCAGCCGCGGUAAUACGUAGGGUGCAAGCGUUGUCCGGAAUUAUUGGGCGUAAAGAGCUCGUAGGCGGUUUGUCGCGUCUGCUGUGAAAACCCGAGGCUCAACCUCGGGCCUGCAGUGGGUACGGGCAGACUAGAGUGCGGUAGGGGAGAAUGGAAUUCCUGGUGUAGCGGUGGAAUGCGCAGAUAUCAGGAGGAACACCGAUGGCGAAGGCAGUUCUCUGGGCCGUUACUGACGCUGAGGAGCGAAAGCGUGGGGAGCGAACAGGAUUAGAUACCCUGGUAGUCCACGCCGUAAACGUUGGGAACUAGAUGUGGGGGCCUUUCCACGGUCUCCGUGUCGCAGCUAACGCAUUAAGUUCCCCGCCUGGGGAGUACGGCCGCAAGGCUAAAACUCAAAGGAAUUGACGGGGGCCCGCACAAGCGGCGGAGCAUGCGGAUUAAUUCGAUGCAACGCGAAGAACCUUACCAAGGCUUGACAUAUACCGGAAACUUCCAGAGAUGGUUGCCCCGCAAGGUCGGUAUACAGGUGGUGCAUGGUUGUCGUCAGCUCGUGUCGUGAGAUGUUGGGUUAAGUCCCGCAACGAGCGCAACCCUCGUUCUAUGUUGCCAGCACGUUAUGGUGGGAACUCAUAGGAGACUGCCGGGGUCAACUCGGAGGAAGGUGGGGAUGACGUCAAAUCAUCAUGCCCCUUAUGUCUUGGGCUUCACGCAUGCUACAAUGGCCGGUACAAAGGGCUGCGAUACCGUAAGGUGGAGCGAAUCCCAAAAAGCCGGUCUCAGUUCGGAUUGAGGUCUGCAACUCGACCUCAUGAAGUCGGAGUCGCUAGUAAUCGCAGAUCAGCAACGCUGCGGUGAAUACGUUCCCGGGCCUUGUACACACCGCCCGUCAAGUCAUGAAAGUCGGUAACACCCGAAGCCAGUGGCCUAACCGUAAG
This 1412-nucleotide ribosomal RNA is filed under the name Rathayibacter agropyri. Its description in RNAcentral is "bacterial SSU rRNA". It matches the Rfam family "Bacterial small subunit ribosomal RNA". Lineage: Bacteria; Bacillati; Actinomycetota; Actinomycetes; Micrococcales; Microbacteriaceae. The record is from RNAcentral.